UGAGAGCGGCGGACGGGGAGAAGGGCUAGGAAUCUGCCUGGUAGUGGGGGAUAACGUUCGGAAACGAACGCUAAUACCGCAUACGUCCUACGGGAGAAAGCAGGGGACCUUCGGGCCUUGCGCUAUCAGAUGAGCCUAGGUCGGAUUAGCUAGUUGGUGAGGUAAUGGCUCACCAAGGCGACGAUCCGUAACUGGUCUGAGAGGAUGAUCAGUCACACUGGAACUGAGACACGGUCCAGACUCCUACGGGAGGCAGCAGUGGGGAAUAUUGGACAAUGGGCGAAAGCCUGAUCCAGCCAUGCCGCGUGUGUGAAGAAGGUCUUCGGAUUGUAAAGCACUUUAAGUUGGGAGGAAGGGCAUUAACCUAAUACGUUAGUGUUUUGACGUUACCGACAGAAUAAGCACCGGCUAACUCUGUGCCAGCAGCCGCGGUAAUACAGAGGGUGCAAGCGUUAAUCGGAAUUACUGGGCGUAAAGCGCGCGUAGGUGGUUUGUUAAGUUGGAUGUGAAAUCCCCGGGCUCAACCUGGGAACUGCAUUCAAAACUGACUGACUAGAGUAUGGUAGAGGGUGGUGGAAUUUCCUGUGUAGCGGUGAAAUGCGUAGAUAUAGGAAGGAACA
This 620-nucleotide ribosomal RNA is filed under the name Pseudomonas sp. I12B-00762. RNAcentral describes it as "bacterial SSU rRNA". It matches the Rfam family "Bacterial small subunit ribosomal RNA", at positions 90 to 708 of the family's 1533-position model. The record is from RNAcentral. Lineage: Bacteria; Pseudomonadati; Pseudomonadota; Gammaproteobacteria; Pseudomonadales; Pseudomonadaceae.